This 91-nucleotide transfer RNA is filed under the name Hutsoniella sourekii. RNAcentral describes it as "tRNA-Ser". It matches the Rfam family "tRNA". Rfam says of the family: Transfer RNA (tRNA) molecules are approximately 80 nucleotides in length. Their secondary structure includes four short double-helical elements and three loops (D, anti-codon, and T loops). Further hydrogen bonds mediate the characteristic L-shaped molecular structure. tRNAs have two regions of fundamental functional importance: the anti-codon, which is responsible for specific mRNA codon recognition, and the 3' end, to which the tRNAs corresponding amino acid is attached (by aminoacyl-tRNA synthetases). tRNAs cope with the degeneracy of the genetic code in two manners: having more than one tRNA (with a specific anti-codon) for a particular amino acid; and 'wobble' base-pairing, i.e. permitting non-standard base-pairing at the 3rd anti-codon position. Lineage: Bacteria; Bacillati; Bacillota; Bacilli; Lactobacillales; Aerococcaceae. The record is from RNAcentral. RNAcentral also lists the same sequence under 2 other names.
GGAGAGUUGUCCGAGCUGGCCGAAGGAGCACGAUUGGAAAUCGUGUAGGCGACUUAUACUCGUCUCAAGGGUUCGAAUCCCUUACUCUCCG